This 491-nucleotide ribosomal RNA is filed under the name uncultured bacterium. RNAcentral's name for it is "partial 16S ribosomal RNA". It matches the Rfam family "Bacterial small subunit ribosomal RNA", at positions 29 to 507 of the family's 1533-position model. The record is from RNAcentral.
GUGAACGCUGGCGGUAGGCCUAACACAUGCAAGUCGAACGGCAGCACAGUAAGAGCUUGCUCUUACGGGUGGCGAGUGGCGGACGGGUGAGGAAUACAUCGGAAUCUACUUUUUCGUGGGGGAUAACGUAGGGAAACUUACGCUAAUACCGCAUACGACCUACGGGUGAAAGCAGGGGAUCUUCGGACCUUGCGCGAUUGAAUGAGCCGAUGUCGGAUUAGCUAGUUGGCGGGGUAAAGGCCCACCAAGGCGACGAUCCGUAGCUGGUCUGAGAGGAUGAUCAGCCACACUGGAACUGAGACACGGUCCAGACUCCUACGGGAGGCAGCAGUGGGGAAUAUUGGACAAUGGGCGCAAGCCUGAUCCAGCCAUACCGCGUGGGUGAAGACGGCCUUCGGGUUGUAAAGCCCUUUUGUUGGGAAAGAAAAGCAGCAGGUUAAUACCCCGCUGUUCUGACGGUACCCAAAGAAUAAGCACCGGCUAACUUCGUG